Molecule: long non-coding RNA, 1954 nt
Organism: Chelonoidis abingdonii (Abingdon island giant tortoise)
Lineage: Eukaryota; Metazoa; Chordata; Testudines; Testudinidae
Source: Ensembl
GUUUUUAUUUUUUGGUAGAUCUUGAUAUCUUCUGGUAAUGGAGAGGGAAGUGUUGCUGAUUUCAAAAAUUUUCUAUGAAGUUGAGUAAGCAUUCUACAACAACUGUGAUAAGGACAGUCCCAGGACACCAAGAGAAGUAUGAAGAGAAGAGAAAAUACUUGUGGUCAAGAGGAGUACUUCUGAAUAAAAAAAAAAAGGAAUCUUUUAUGUUCUUAGAGAAGCCUAUAACACAUGACCAUAGAUGGCGCCUAAACCACUUGGGAAGUGGGAAAAGUAUGGAAAAAGAUAUUGUCGAGAUUGGGAAAGGGAAACUGGAUUAAAAGAAUGGAUUCGAAGUAUUCCCGGAGAUGACACAAAGGCAGCAUGCAAAUAUUGCGCAUGUGAAAUCCGAGCUCAUCAUAGUGAUUUGGUUGCACACAGUAAAACCAAAAAGCACAAGAGACAUGUUGCUUUAUUUUCAUGUUCUUCUGAUAUGAAAAAACAUUCAUUUGAAUUUGAAGUUGAAAACCAAAAUUCAUUUGACGAUGAUAUCACGCAAGCCAAAAUGGAUCAAUCUGUUAAUGUAUGCGCACUGAAGCUAGCGGCACACAUAGCUUGCAAUAUGAGCAUUUUUACAGUGGAUCACCUAGGCUGCAUUGUUGGAGGGAUAGCAGAGAAGGACAUUAGUCUGCAUAGAACAAAAUGCUCCACACUGAUUAGAAAUGUCAUUGGUCCUACCGUACACGAAGAACUUCUGAGAGAUAUUGGCAAUGGACACUACUCGUUGAUCAUUGAUGAAAGUACAGAUGUAUCAGCACAAAAGCAACUUUGCUUGAUAGUAAGAUUCUUUAGCAACAAGCUUAAAUGUAUUGUAUCAUCCUUUGCAGGGAUCAUUAAUUUGACUAGAAGUGGUGCUAUCACAGAAGCCCUCUUGAAAUUUCUAAAUGACAACAAGCUGAACAUAAAAAAGUGUGUUGGGAUUGCUGCUGAUGGUUUCAAUACAAGCUUAUGUGGAAAUAAAAAUUCAUUGCUCAAAAAGUUUUAUGAACUCAAUCCUUGUGGAGUUUUCAUCAAAUAUAGGGGAUCAUAUCAAGUUGAAACAGCAAUGGAGAAAUCUGGAUGCAGUCUCAUGGACAAACACAGAAGAUAGCCAAAUAGAACAGUUCUGGAUAGAAGUUGCAAAACACACUGAUGAAGUUGGUGAUAAGGAUUUUGUUGAGCUUGGAUUAUUUGCCCUUGCCCUUCUCACCUUGCCAUUCAGCACUGCAGCUGUGGAAUGUACAAUCUCACAAAUGAACUCGAUAAAAACUAAGUUAAAGAACAGAUUGCAGGACAGCCUACUUGAAAAUAUCUUAAGGAUCAGGGCCUAUAUGCACCGAAAUAAGAUUUGCUGCAACCAGUUUCAACCAUCCAAAGAGAUGAUAUCUUUGUUUAAUAAUGAGUUUUAUGCAAUUGCUAAUAGCAAGGACGCUACAGAUGACUCUGAGGAGGAUAUAUUUUGAAAAGACUCAAGUGAAGAGGAUCUCUUUUAAAAAAGUAAGCAAGGAUUUUCAAAAUGGCUCAUUGCAAUUGAACUAUUUGACUCAUGCAUUUCAAAUUUUGUUCUAUCUACAAAUCUGUUUUCCCAUUCAUUUAGUAAGAACUACUUUUCAUAGAGGAAGAUACAUUGUAUAAAGCCACACAGCCCUUUUUAGAAAAAGAUUUUUGAAAAACUAAAGUAAAAUUAAUGAGGCACGCUCUAAUACUAAUUCAUUUGGUGGGGGGCACACUUGACGGAAGAUGCUGAUUAGGCAGUGCACCAGAACCCCCUUCCCAUUAGCCUAUUAAUGUAAUACAGUCAUGGCAUAUUUUUAUAUUGAGUGAUACACAAUGUAACACUACAUUUCUGUGCCUCAGUACAAUACUCUCAGUCAGGAGCCAGAUGGCUGGGUGAAGAUUGAAUAAAACCUGCUUUUUUAUAUAUGUUUUGAAGGGC